This 389-nucleotide ribosomal RNA is filed under the name uncultured bacterium. RNAcentral's name for it is "bacterial SSU rRNA". It matches the Rfam family "Bacterial small subunit ribosomal RNA", at positions 28 to 419 of the family's 1533-position model. The record is from RNAcentral.
GACGAACGCUGGCGGCGUGCUUAACACAUGCAAGUCGAGCGGUAAGGCCCUUUCGGGGGUACACGAGCGGCGAACGGGUGAGUAACACGUGGGUGACCUGCCCUUAGCUCUGGGAUAAGCCUGGGAAACUGGGUCUAAUACCGGAUAUGACUCCAUGACGCAUGUUGUGGGGUGGAAAGCCUUGUGCGGCUAGGGAUGGGCCUGCGGCCUAUCAGCUUGUUGGUGGGGUGANGGCCUACCAAGGCGACGACGGGUAGCCGGCCUGAGAGGGCGACCGGCCACACUGGGACUGAGACACGGCCCAGACUCCUACGGGAGGCAGCAGUGGGGAAUCUUGCGCAAUGGGCGAAAGCCUGACGCAGCGACGCCGCGUGGGGAUGACGGCCUGG